CUGCAAAGAGGAGGCCCUCCCUCUCGGAGGAGGGGGGCCCACCCGACGGGGGCGCCGCCCCUCCCCCACCUCUGCUGGCCCGGCUGCUGCUGCCACCGGUCCGAUGCCCUCUGUCCUCAGGGCGCCCAGCCCUGGCAGUCCUGCAAAGUCACCCCCACUCGUUAGCUGCCUGGCGUCCCUGCUCCUGGGCAAGGGCCACUCCCCCCCACUCUGCGGGGCCCCCGGUCCGUGGCCCGAGCUGGAGUGGGGUCUCUGACUUGUUUCUCGUCUUCGGGGUGACCGCAUCCCCCCCCCACCUCGACGUGGCCAAUCAGGCCGGCGGCUGUGGACCAGGAACCGCCAGAAGUCACUGUCUGCAGGCCGUCUUGGGGGUCAAACCUCGUCCUCCUCCUCCUUCGGCGGGCGGUCAAGAGAAGCCCGGACAGGGACAAGGACUUGUCCGGGAGGUGCAGCAGGACUGCGAAGCCCCCACAGCUCCGGGCCCCAGAAGGCCCCUCUGCCAACCAGCAAAUACACUCAGAGCUCGGGGCCAAAACGGGGGCAGAUCCUCGCUCCUGACACCCGGCCUCCCCCGGAGCCUCCCCUCCCGUCGUCGCCGCCUCGGACACCCCGGCCCAGCCCCGCUCCAUCCGGGGGAGCCGCGGGCCCGGCGCCCCCGCCCAGGGGAGGAAGCCGCCUGUCAGGCCGCCACGGCGUGUCAAAUCCUCUCGCUGCCUAAUUGUGAGACGGCGGCGUUUAAAGCAACGCUUUGCUGGCCGCCUGCCACACCGCAAACGGCUCGGUAUAAUUUUAUUAUUAAGGGAGAGAAAAGAGGGAGGGGGCCGGGCCGGGGGGCAGUCGCGGGUCCGAGUCAGCCGCGGGGGGGAAUGCGGCUCCGGGCGAGCACCGCCGGCUCUCGGGUUGGCCCGCCGACUCCGUUCAUUGCGCAUUCAGUCUCUACUUAGGGCAACCGAAACCAAGCGGGCCCGGGUCCGACGAUUAGGGUCCGCGACUGGGCCAUGAACCCUUCCACCCCCGCCCGCCCCCGCCGCCCCGGGCGCGGUGCGGGACGGGGGCGGGGGGCGCAGCGCCGGCGGCGGGGUGAACGCGGCGCGGGAGCUGGGCGCCGGCCGAGCGGGGGAUGGGGAGCGGCGCGGGGCGUGCGGGGGUGUUUUGCGGCCCCGCCGCCCCCCCGCAACAGAUGUCUCAGCCGUGUAAGACAAAGGCAGUGCGCCUGCCGCUGCCGGCAGAAAAUCCGCAGGACUCCCUCAGGGGCAGGUAAAAUUUCA
RNAcentral lists this long non-coding RNA (1268 nucleotides) under Sus scrofa (pig). Its description in RNAcentral is "lncRNA (ENSSSCG00070003590.1)". Lineage: Eukaryota; Metazoa; Chordata; Mammalia; Artiodactyla; Suidae. The record is from RNAcentral.